AAUAAACCCCUGUCUGAUUUAUGCAAAGUCAGAUUAAAAUUAGCUACACAAACUAAUGCACUUGAAACUUCACAGUCAUAUAUGGGAGACCUUGACUCCAAAAUAUCAUCAUAGUGAUGAUCUAAGUAAACAAAUACUAUGUACUCAUGAAACUACCAAGCACACGGCAAUACAUCCCUUGCUGAUUUAUGCAAAUUUGAAAUUAAAA
This 208-nucleotide unclassified non-coding RNA is filed under the name Hevea brasiliensis (rubber tree). Lineage: Eukaryota; Viridiplantae; Streptophyta; Magnoliopsida; Malpighiales; Euphorbiaceae. The record is from RNAcentral.